AGGGUUUGAUCAUGGCUCAGAGCGAACGCUGGCGGCAGGCUUAACACAUGCAAGUCGAGCGGAUGUAGCAAUACAUCAGCGGCAGACGGGAGAGUAACACGUGGGAACGCGCCCUUCGGUUCGGAAUAACUCAGGGAAACUUGAGCUAAUACCGGAUACGCCCUAACGGGGAAAGAUUUAUUGCCGAAGGAACGGCCCGCGUCGGAUUAGCUAGUUGGUGAGGUAAUGGCUCACCAAGGCGACGAUCCGUAGCUGGUCUGAGAGGAUGACCAGCCUCACUGGGACUGAGACACGGCCCAGACUCCUACGGGAGGCAGCAGUGGGGAAUAUUGGACAAUGGGCGCAAGCCUGAUCCAGCCAUGCCGCGUGGGUGAUGAAGGCCCUAGGGUUGUAAAGCCCUUUCGGCGGGGAAGAUAAUGACGGUACCCGCAGAAGAAGCCCCGGCUAACUUCGUGCCAGCAGCCGCGGUAAUACGAAGGGGGCUAGCGUUGCUCGGAAUUACUGGGCGUAAAGCGCACGUAGGCGGCUUCUUAAGUCGGUGGUGAAAUCCUGGAGCUCAACUCCAGAACUGCCUUCGAUACUGGGAAGCUCGAGUUCGGGAGAGGUGAGUGGAACUGCGAGUGUAGAGGUGAAAUUCGUAGAUAUUCGCAAGAACACCAGUGGC
Molecule: ribosomal RNA, 664 nt
Filed under: uncultured Pseudolabrys sp.
Lineage: Bacteria; Pseudomonadati; Pseudomonadota; Alphaproteobacteria; Hyphomicrobiales; Xanthobacteraceae
Description: bacterial SSU rRNA
Rfam family: Bacterial small subunit ribosomal RNA
Source: RNAcentral